UUAAAAAAAAAAAGAGUAGAUCAUGUAAGUCUUCUAAAAUAGGAAGAAAGCAAAGAUUAGCAUGGCCCCUGUGCAAAGAUGACAUAUUUGUGAAGCAUCCCAUAUUUUU
Erinaceus europaeus (western European hedgehog) is the source of this 109-nucleotide non-coding RNA. Lineage: Eukaryota; Metazoa; Chordata; Mammalia; Eulipotyphla; Erinaceidae. The record is from Rfam.